UUAAGCGACUAAGCGUACACGGUGGAUGCCCUGGCAGUCAGAGGCGAUGAAGGACGUGCUAAUCUGCGAAAAGCGCCGGCGAGGUGAUAUGAACCUUUGACCCGGCGAUGUCCGAAUGGGGAAACCCAGUGUGUUCCGACACACUAUCGUUAACUGAAUACAUAGGUUAACGAGGCGAACCGGGGGAACUGAAACAUCUAAGUACCCCGAGGAAAAGAAAUCAACCGAGAUUCCCCCAGUAGCGGCGAGCGAACGGGGAGCAGCCCAGAGUCUGAAUCAGCUUGUGUGUUAGUGGAAGCGUCUGGAAAGUCGCACGGUACAGGGUGACAGUCCCGUACACGAAAGCACACAGGUUGUGAACUCGAAGAGUAGGGCGGGACACGUGGUAUCCUGUCUGAAUAUGGGGGGACCAUCCUCCAAGGCUAAAUACUCCUGACUGACCGAUAGUGAACCAGUACCGUGAGGGAAAGGCGAAAAGAACCCCGGCGAGGGGAGUGAAAAAGAACCUGAAACCGUGUACGUACAAGCAGUGGGAGCACCUUCGUGGUGUGACUGCGUACCUUUUGUAUAAUGGGUCAGCGACUUAUAUUCUGUAGCAAGGUUAACCGUAUAGGGGAGCCGAAGGGAAACCGAGUCUUAACUGGGCGUUAAGUUGCAGGGUAUAGACCCGAAACCCGGUGAUCUAGCCAUGGGCAGGUUGAAGGUUGGGUAACACUAACUGGAGGACCGAACCGACUAAUGUUGAAAAAUUAGCGGAUGACUUGUGGCUGGGGGUGAAAGGCCAAUCAAACCGGGAGAUAGCUGGUUCUCCCCGAAAGCUAUUUAGGUAGCGCCUCGUGAACUCAUCUUCGGGGGUAGAGCACUGUUUCGGCUAGGGGGCCAUCCCGGCUUACCAACCCGAUGCAAACUACGAAUACCGAAGAAUGUUAUCACGGGAGACACACGGCGGGUGCUAACGUCCGUCGUGAAGAGGGAAACAACCCAGACCGCCAGCUAAGGUCCCAAAGUCAUGGUUAAGUGGGAAACGAUGUGGGAAGGCACAGACAGCCAGGAUGUUGGCUUAGAAGCAGCCAUCAUUUAAAGAAAGCGUAAUAGCUCACUGGUCGAGUCGGCCUGCGCGGAAGAUGUAACGGGGCUAAACCAUGCACCGAAGCUGCGGCAGCGACGCUUAUGCGUUGUUGGGUAGGGGAGCGUUCUGUAAGCCGUUGAAGGUGGCCUGUGAGGGUUGCUGGAGGUAUCAGAAGUGCGAAUGCUGACAUAAGUAACGAUAAAGCGGGUGAAAAGCCCGCUCGCCGGAAGACCAAGGGUUCCUGUCCAACGUUAAUCGGGGCAGGGUGAGUCGACCCCUAAGGCGAGGCCGAAAGGCGUAGUCGAUGGGAAACAGGUUAAUAUUCCUGUACUUGGUGUUACUGCGAAGGGGGGACGGAGAAGGCUAUGUUAGCCGGGCGACGGUUGUCCCGGUUUAAGCAUGUAGGCGGAGGUUCCAGGUAAAUCCGGUACCUUUUAACGCUGAGGUGUGAUGACGAGGCACUACGGUGCUGAAGUAACAAAUGCCCUGCUUCCAGGAAAAGCCUCUAAGCAUCAGGUAACAUCAAAUCGUACCCCAAACCGACACAGGUGGUCAGGUAGAGAAUACCAAGGCGCUUGAGAGAACUCGGGUGAAGGAACUAGGCAAAAUGGUGCCGUAACUUCGGGAGAAGGCACGCUGAUAUGUAGGUGAAGCCCCUGCGGGUGGAGCUGAAAUCAGUCGAAGAUACCAGCUGGCUGCAACUGUUUAUUAAAAACACAGCACUGUGCAAACACGAAAGUGGACGUAUACGGUGUGACGCCUGCCCGGUGCCGGAAGGUUAAUUGAUGGGGUUAGCGGCAACGCGAAGCUCUUGAUCGAAGCCCCGGUAAACGGCGGCCGUAACUAUAACGGUCCUAAGGUAGCGAAAUUCCUUGUCGGGUAAGUUCCGACCUGCACGAAUGGCGUAAUGAUGGCCAGGCUGUCUCCACCCGAGACUCAGUGAAAUUGAACUCGCUGUGAAGAUGCAGUGUACCCGCGGCAAGACGGAAAGACCCCGUGAACCUUUACUAUAGCUUGACACUGAACACUGGUCCUUGAUGUGUAGGAUAGGUGGGAGGCUUUGAAGUGUGGACGCCAGUCUGCAUGGAGCCGUCCUUGAAAUACCACCCUUUAAUGGCUGGUGUUCUAACGUAGACCCGUAAUCCGGGUUGCGGACAGUGUCUGGUGGGUAGUUUGACUGGGGCGGUCUCCUCCCAAAGAGUAACGGAGGAGCACGAAGGUUAGCUAAUCCUGGUCGGACAUCAGGAGGUUAGUGCAAUGGCAUAAGCUAGCUUGACUGCGAGAGUGACGGCUCGAGCAGGUGCGAAAGCAGGUCAUAGUGAUCCGGUGGUUCUGAAUGGAAGGGCCAUCGCUCAACGGAUAAAAGGUACUCCGGGGAUAACAGGCUGAUACCGCCCAAGAGUUCAUAUCGACGGCGGUGUUUGGCACCUCGAUGUCGGCUCAUCACAUCCUGGGGCUGAAGUAGGUCCCAAGGGUAUGGCUGUUCGCCAUUUAAAGUGGUACGCGAGCUGGGUUUAGAACGUCGUGAGACAGUUCGGUCCCUAUCUGCCGUGGGCGCUGGAGAAUUGAGGGGGGCUGCUCCUAGUACGAGAGGACCGGAGUGGACGCAUCACUGGUGUUCGGGUUGUCAUGCCAAUGGCACUGCCCGGUAGCUAAAUGCGGAAAAGAUAAGUGCUGAAAGCAUCUAAGCACGAAACUUGCCCCGAGAUGAGUUCUCCCUGAGACUUUAAGUCUCCUGAAGGAACGUUGAAGACGACGACGUUGAUAGGUCGGGUGUGUAAGCGCAGCGAUGCGUUGAGCUAACCGAUACUAAUGAACCGUGAGGCUUAACCUU
This 2903-nucleotide ribosomal RNA is filed under the name Enterobacter sp. MGH 16. RNAcentral's name for it is "bacterial LSU rRNA". It matches the Rfam family "Bacterial large subunit ribosomal RNA". The record is from RNAcentral. Lineage: Bacteria; Pseudomonadati; Pseudomonadota; Gammaproteobacteria; Enterobacterales; Enterobacteriaceae.